UCUGGGGUUGUCCUGGCUUUCCUGCACCCUACUCUCACCCGCUGCUUGAAGGUGGGAGGCUUCAACUGUCCCAAUGGUCUUGGGGCCUGACGUCAUACAGAACGAGCUCACACACAGCGGCAGCCAAAAGCCUGUGACCCACAGCCAAGCCUCUGCUGGUGCAGCCAGGGGACCCUCCCAGGUGGAAGGUGCCCGAGACAACAAGACUAGCCGACGAGAUUUCCCCUCCUCUUUUACAGAAGCACACAGAGCUCAAAAACAGGGAUCAGCGAACGUGCUGUCAACAGCCAGUACUCUAGCCUUUGCAGGCCAGACGGUCUCUGCUGUGACUUCUCCACUCUGCCGCCGUAGGGCUAAAGCAGCCAUAGGGAAGAUGGAAGGAACUGGGAGUUGGCUGUGUCGCAGUAAAACUUUAUUUACCAACAUAGGUGGCAGCCUAAAUUUGGCCCGUUCAGCUCCUGCUCCAAAGAGCAAACGAGCAUCAUUUUUCUAAAAAGAAACUUAGAUUUUUUAAAACCCUUUCGACUAAUGUCAUUAUCAAAACGAAAAAACUCCACCAAAUGUUUCAGAGCCUGCACUAUUCUCCUUCCUCGCUCCUCACAGAUAACCUUUUUCUUGGAAGGGCCACAUGAGCUUCAGUGUACCGUGCUCAGAAAUAAAAAUCUCAGAUUUAGUAAUGAUUAACCCACCUACACGGCGGGGGGAGAAAGCAAACCACGGGACCACGUUGAAAAGGGUGUCAAGCCCAAAGGAGGAGUUUCUCCCGUGGCUUCUGUUCACACUGCACACCUUCUGCCACUGCAUUCUCUUCCAGUUCCUUCCACCACACCGUGGUCUCUGAGGCCCAGAGGCACCGCCGACCUAUAGCAAAGAGUCCCCCACCCCCACCCCACCCCCGAGCAGCUGCAGGGCUCUCUGGAGAGAACAAGGAGGGAAUCUGGACGUGGACGAACUGCAGUCCGUCGUUUGGAGCAUGGAAGCUCCAGUGCCACUGGCUGUCCGACCUGGGGACGGCACAAGCUCUCGGAGCCCGCCUUGCCCCAUCUGGGUAACCCCCUCCCCCCACCUGCAGAGCGCUCAUGUUCAUUCCCAAGGUCAUGGAUGUGCACGCCCUUCAGAAACGUUAGCUAUCUUAUCCUGAAUGAAGAAUGCAGAGGCAACCGGUUAAUACUAAGGCUGUGCUGAGGCCACUGAUUUCUGGCCUCAGUGAGAGAGAGGCUGGGGGCACCGAUGACCAAAGACCUCAUCGGGUGAGCUGAUGAGGGACAAAAUACACACUCAGGUCGCAUUAGGCCCACACGCUCUAGUUUAUCUUGGUGUACUCCUGCAAGAAUCUGGGGAAAUGCACGUACCCACGACUGCCACAUGACCGACCUGACAGAAGAACCAAGAGAGAUCUGUACAAACCUACAAAAAAGAAAACGCAAUCAGUGAGAUCGUUGUAGAGAAAAGGUUUGGUGCUACAAUUCCAGCCCGGAAUCAAAGACCAGGCCUGUGGUCCUGAUUCUGCCACUGACUGGACCCAUUUCCUCUUCUGUGAGGGAGUGUAAUGAUACCUGCUCUUGAACCCUAACGAAGGAGAAAUGCCUUUAUCAGCUGACUGACGCCAUGGACGCGAGCAACGUAUCCUGAGAGAGAGACAGAGACAAGCCAUGACUCGGUGAUGAUGGAAAUAAGCCUUGCCAAGUUCACCACACCAGGAGGACAAAAGGCAACCCUUCUGCCCUUCUUCAGGGGUCGCGGUUUAGGUUAUCCAUAGACCUUAUGGGAGAAGUAACGACUUUCAAAUUCUCUUCCUUUUUUUUUUUUUUAAAGCCAUGUGAACCAAAAGAAGCACAAUCUAUCUAAUGGUUGGAUCAACUACCUUAAGGAAACCGCAACGCCCCCUAAUUCUACAUAUGAAAGAAAACUAUUUUACAUGAAAACAUGGGAUCUAAAUGUCCCUCUUAGAAAUGUGUCUUUUUGUGGCUAAGUGAGAGCUACUCAGAAUUCGGCUGAAACUCAAAAUUGGGAGACCGUCUGGAAAGUAUUCUGGGGUCAGGAAAUGGGGCAGAUAAAUGUCAAAGCAAAGACAGCCAUAUUUCUUACCGUGCUCCCUUCGUGUCCAUCCUGUGCGGGUUAGAGCCUCGAUGUUUGUAAAACAUCACAGGCGGGGUUGGGCGGGGGGCGGUGCACAGGCAAAUGGUGCCUAAUAAACCGACUUGUGAAGCUCUGGCGUGGGAAGCUGGAACCGAGGAGACAAGAAAUAAAAGAGGGUGAAAGGAAGAUGAAAUUGAUCUGUGUUCUAAAGCCCUUCUGCUUACAGUAUUACUACUUUAAGAACAAAAUGUGAGUGGCAUUUAGACACUUACUGCAAUUUGACAUAGGGAUUUCGUGUCUAUGGAUUCUACUAGUAAAUAAUUUGAGCUUGUC
This is a long non-coding RNA of Prionailurus viverrinus (fishing cat), 2412 nucleotides long. RefSeq lists it as uncharacterized. Lineage: Eukaryota; Metazoa; Chordata; Mammalia; Carnivora; Felidae. The record is from RefSeq and is a predicted model, not a curated record. The transcript is spliced from 2 exons.